GGCCUGGUGGUGUAAUGGUAACACAUCUUCUCUCGUUAUCGGUUCAGAUGGGAAUUUUCUGAAGAAAUACCCUGUUCGAUUCGGGGCCAAGCCA
Non-coding RNA from Mycena crocata, 94 nucleotides. NCBI's taxonomy places the organism in Eukaryota, Fungi, Basidiomycota, Agaricomycetes, Agaricales, Mycenaceae. The record is from the annotation of a GenBank genome assembly.